AGUGAACGCUGGCGGUAGGCCUAACACAUGCAAGUCGAACGGCAGCACAGUAAGAGCUUGCUCUUACGGGUGGCGAGUGGCGGACGGGUGAGGAAUACAUCGGAAUCUACUUUUUCGUGGGGGAUAACGUAGGGAAACUUACGCUAAUACCGCAUACGACCUACGGGUGAAAGCAGGGGAUCUUCGGACCUUGCGCGAUUGAAUGAGCCGAUGUCGGAUUAGCUAGUUGGCGGGGUAAAGGCCCACCAAGGCGACGAUCCGUAGCUGGUCUGAGAGGAUGAUGCGCGCCUGUGGAGGUGAGCGGCGGCCCAGGGACCGAGAGGAGGCCGAGGUGGGGAAGAUUGGCAGAAGGGCGGAAGCCUGCACCAGCGAUGGAGGCUGGAUGAAGAAGGGCCUCGGGUUGUAAAACGCUUUUGUGGGUAUAGAAAGGUAGCAGGUUAAUCCAAGGUUGUUGUGACGGUAGCCGGAAAAUAAGCACCGGCUAACUUCGU
This 491-nucleotide ribosomal RNA is filed under the name uncultured bacterium. RNAcentral's name for it is "partial 16S ribosomal RNA". It matches the Rfam family "Bacterial small subunit ribosomal RNA", at positions 30 to 506 of the family's 1533-position model. The record is from RNAcentral.